This 1659-nucleotide long non-coding RNA is filed under the name Nicotiana benthamiana. Its description in RNAcentral is "long non-coding RNA (NBEN_LNC025980)". The record is from RNAcentral. Lineage: Eukaryota; Viridiplantae; Streptophyta; Magnoliopsida; Solanales; Solanaceae.
GGGCAGUCUGCAUAUCUACACAGAAUCAGGUCAAGACGAAGUUUGAAUACAAUUGAUACAAAAUAAUGAGAUUAAGAAUGAAAUAGCCGAGUCUGACUUAGACUACCUACAUAUCCAAAUGGAAUCAGGACAAAAAUGAAGUUCGAUUACAAAAGACGACUAAAUCCGAUGAAGAUUGCAUAUGUAUUCAUUCCUAAAGAAAUCAAGUCGGCAUAGUUCCCGAUUAAUCACACAUAAUGAUAUUUGGAUUUUCUAUUACAAAAGAAGGAGGGCGAGAAACCGAACCUUAGAUGGGUUGUCUACACAUUCCUCCGUGGGAAAACAAGUUGAAUGUAGUUCUGUUACAGCAAAACCUAACACUAUUUGCCUUCAAACAUAGUAUCUCUUGAUUGCUUCUGAGUUGAUGUGCUUCGUGUUGACUUUUCCAUCCAUUUCUGCCAAGAUCGGAUCUCCACUUGAAAACACUCGGUGAACCACGUAAAGACCUUUCAAUUCGGUGCAAAGUUUCCUUUGGCUUCUUCCUGGUGAGGAAGGAUUUUCUUUAGAGCUAAUUGCCUCGUCAUGAACUGGCGAGGCUUUACCCUUUCUUUGAAUGCACUAGCCAUCCUGUUCUGAUAUAGUUGACUAUGGCAUACUGCACCAUUCUUUUCUCAGCAAUGAUCAUGACACUCGUAUUCACUGUACAUCCUCCAACUUGGCGUCUUGGAUGACCCUUAAAGAUGGUAUCCCGACCUCCGCGGGUAUCACAGCUUCGGUUCUGUAGACUAACAUGUUUCGCAUUUUCCCAGUAGAUGUUCUCAUGGUUGUCCGAUAACCCAAUAAGGAAAAAGGAUAGUUUCUCGUUCCAUUGCCUGUGAUUGUCUACUAUCUUCCGGGCAAUCCUCUUGAUAUUCUUGUUGGCUGCCUCGACUGUUCCAUUUAUUUGUGAUAUGUCAUGGCCCUCAUGUAAGUAAUUCAAGCCUUCAAUGACGUAAGUCAACUAAACACCUCAUACUGACACGGCAUAUUGUUUGUUUCUCAAUCAAAUUUGAGUGCGUGAAUAACUUAAAUUGCUAACUAGUGUUUACUACAACCCCCACACUACCGGUCCAUCAAACAACUAACCUAAAAUGUCACUUCGGCCACUGUACCACCCAUCAAACAACUCACCAUCCACCUACGAAAAGGCAAUCAGCCAUCUCCCGAGAGACCGUGUGACUUAUAAAAAAUUAGCUAAAUUGUUCAUGCAGAGAAGAAGUUGGGCGCAAGGGAUGUUGUGGUCAUUAGCGGUGUUGGCGAGCACUAUGGCGAAAGUAAUGGUGGUUAGGAGAAGAAUAAAUAAGUAGUAAGUAAUGGAGAAAGGAAUAGUGGGGAAGGAAGAGGGAUGAAAUGUCUUGGGUUGUUGUAGAUUUUGGUUUUUGAGCAAAACCCGCUGUUGGGGCCGAUAAAGGAAGAUGACAUGUUUGUUAGGCAACGAUUUUGAUCAUUUUAGGUGGCGGUGGUAUACCGAUCAAAUUUUAAUGCUCAAUGAAGGAAAGGGAUCCGAAGGAGAUGAUUCUAGAAAAAAAGAAAGAAAGAAAGAAAGCAAAGGAGGAGAGGGAGGAGGGUGUGAAAAUGAAGGUGGUGAUUAAGGAGAAAGAGAAGAACUUGUUAUGAAGGAAAUGUGAGAGGAGCCGGCGG